Molecule: ribosomal RNA, 433 nt
Filed under: Tingidae gen. 2 sp. h RS-2018
Lineage: Eukaryota; Metazoa; Arthropoda; Insecta; Hemiptera; Tingidae
Description: partial large subunit ribosomal RNA
Source: RNAcentral
UUCUUUAUAGAAGAAAAUAUAAAGUAUAACCUGCUCAAUGAUUUUUAAAUAGCCGCGAUAUUUGAUCGUGCUAAGGUAGCAUAAUAAUUUGUCUUUUAAUUAAGGUCUAGAAUGAAUGGUUGAACGAAAAAUUAACUUUUUUAAUUAAAUUUUUAUUAAUUUUAUUUUUUAGUAAAAAAGCUAAAAUUAUUUUAUGUGACGAUAAGACCCUAUAAAAUUUUAUUUUUUGUUUGUUUAUGAAUAAUUAGUUUUUAUUUUUUGUAAAUUUUAUUAAAAAUUUGGUUGGGGUGAUUAUUUUAUUCAAAGAACUAUAAUUUUUAAAUUUCACUAAUUUGUGAUUUAUUGAUCCUAAAAUUUAGAUUAUAAGAAUAAAUUACUUUAGGGAUAACAGCGUAAUUUUCUUGGGGAGUUCUUAUUUAUAAGAAAGAUUGCG